GGUUGUGGCUCAGUGGUAGAGCACUUGCCUAGCACAUGUGAGGCACUGGGUUUGAUUCUCAGCACCA
RNAcentral lists this transfer RNA (67 nucleotides) under Marmota monax (woodchuck). RNAcentral describes it as "tRNA.Ala". Lineage: Eukaryota; Metazoa; Chordata; Mammalia; Rodentia; Sciuridae. The record is from RNAcentral.